UGGGCUGUGGCUCGGUGGUAAAGCACUCGCCUAGCAUGUGAGGCACUGGGUUCCAUCCUCAGCACCACAU
This 70-nucleotide transfer RNA is filed under the name Marmota monax (woodchuck). RNAcentral describes it as "tRNA.Ala". Lineage: Eukaryota; Metazoa; Chordata; Mammalia; Rodentia; Sciuridae. The record is from RNAcentral.